RNAcentral lists this ribosomal RNA (490 nucleotides) under Salmonella enterica. RNAcentral's name for it is "bacterial SSU rRNA". It matches the Rfam family "Bacterial small subunit ribosomal RNA", at positions 1 to 480 of the family's 1533-position model. RNAcentral also lists the same sequence under 1 other name. The record is from RNAcentral. Lineage: Bacteria; Pseudomonadati; Pseudomonadota; Gammaproteobacteria; Enterobacterales; Enterobacteriaceae.
AAAUUGAAGAGUUUGAUCAUGGCUCAGAUUGAACGCUGGCGGCAGGCCUAACACAUGCAAGUCGAACGGUAACAGGAAGCAGCUUGCUGCUUUGCUGACGAGUGGCGGACGGGUGAGUAAUGUCUGGGAAACUGCCUGAUGGAGGGGGAUAACUACUGGAAACGGUGGCUAAUACCGCAUAACGUCGCAAGACCAAAGAGGGGGACCUUCGGGCCUCUUGCCAUCAGAUGUGCCCAGAUGGGAUUAGCUUGUUGGUGAGGUAACGGCUCACCAAGGCGACGAUCCCUAGCUGGUCUGAGAGGAUGACCAGCCACACUGGAACUGAGACACGGUCCAGACUCCUACGGGAGGCAGCAGUGGGGAAUAUUGCACAAUGGGCGCAAGCCUGAUGCAGCCAUGCCGCGUGUAUGAAGAAGGCCUUAGGGUUGUAAAGUACUUUCAGCGGGGAGGAAGGUGUUGCGGUUAAUAACCGCAGCAAUUGACGUUACCC